Molecule: long non-coding RNA, 516 nt
Filed under: Ictidomys tridecemlineatus (thirteen-lined ground squirrel)
Lineage: Eukaryota; Metazoa; Chordata; Mammalia; Rodentia; Sciuridae
Description: lncRNA (ENSSTOG00000031081.1)
Source: RNAcentral
GGAGUCCGCGCUGUCCCCGCGCCGGUCUUCCCUAGGCGCCGCCUGGGGAUGAGCUGCAAAUCACUGCAGGACUUGCAUAACUUUCCCUGAGCGCCCCAGUGGAACCUGCGGGGGCCGCCGCGCCCCAGCCCACCUGUGCGGGACUCCAGCCCUCUUCCCUCUCCCGCCAGCUCCUGCUGGAUCCCGCCUGAUCCCCACCCGCUCCAUCCCCAUCAACCAACAGGGUGCCAACAGCCCGCUCCUGCGCCUCUUUUCCUGCUCUGUCUCCGGAAUCCGCCCUUCUCCUGGCUGAUUCUUCACAGCGGCCCAGGCCCCGCCCCCGACCCUGGGAGCAGGUGGAGAGAACCCACCAGGAAGGAGGAGAAUGUGAGCGCAUCCUCUGGCACCCAGAUGCUGCACUGGAGGAUCUCCAGGGCCAUCCUUGGGGACAGGCAGCAACUCAAGAAUGUGAAUCUCAGGGGAGACAUAAUUGAAUGAAGAUCUGAUUGUGUUGCCAACUGCUGUGUGCUCAGUCUC